This 426-nucleotide long non-coding RNA is filed under the name Androctonus crassicauda. Lineage: Eukaryota; Metazoa; Arthropoda; Arachnida; Scorpiones; Buthidae. The record is from RNAcentral.
GAUCUCCAGGUGGACAUGCAGAGUGGUGAAUAUGUUACUAGAAUAUAUAAAAAGCCAACCUAUACUUCAGUGUUAAUACCUGCCUGACAUUAUAACCCUAUACAAUAUAAACUUGCAGCUUUUUGGUCCUUGUUUACUAGAGUCCACAUGCAUAUCAUAAAAUGGCAGGAUAAGAUACAAGAACUAGGGUUCAUUUAUAACAUAGGACGGAAAUAUGGCUUUACUACUAAACAGAUGCAGGUGAUAUGGUUUAGGGUUUCUGGGGACUUGGCCGGUGUGACGGUGGGUUGUGCAUACCCUAGACAUAAUGCUGAUACACCUCCCUUUGCUGAAAUCACGUAUUGUAUCGCCACUGAUAGAGUUCUGACUGGGAAUAUGAAUGAGGGGAGGUAUCGGAUGGCUCGUGGGAGAGGGCCUGCUGUGUUU